CUGAUGAUUAAGACUACCAAAAUUUUCGCUUCAAUAUGAAAAAAUUCGGCUUACGUGCAUUCAACAGAAUCUAUAAUCACGUUAUUCAAACAAAGAUCUUAUAGCUGGAUCUUGUUUGCAAUUGAAAAACUUACCGACUUUUGCAAUCUAUCUAGCGAUUAGCAGCAUUCUUUCCUAGAUUUUUGUAGAUUUUGUAAGAGAUACGAAAAACGUACAUAUUUAAACCAUGAACAUGCUUUAGUAGUUCAAAUACAAAAUAAUUAUUAAUGCGUGACAUAAAAAACAGUUCAUACCGGAAGAGUUAAUAUACAGUAGUUAAAAACGAUAAUAUUUCAAUCUGCAGUUUUUCGCAGAAGAUAGAAACUCGCAUAUCGAAUUUACACGUAUACGAAUACACGGAACUUUAUUACGAACAGUUCGAUCUACUUGUCGAAUGGAGGGUCUCGAUAAGAGGUGGUCGGCUCGAAGCAUCGGAGAGCCACCGUCACGGUCACUGGCGGCAGCUUUCGACGUACAAACUUCCGAGUUUAACGGUGAAGUUACAAACGGCUCAGUCGGUGAACGAAUUUCUGGAACGCGCGGCGGCACGCUCGCGCAUCAUCCUCCUUUGCUGGAAUUCCAAGAAAGCUCGCGCGAUAUGCAACACGCCCCGAAGAAGAACGUUUCGUUCGAAAUCUUGCUGGACGAUCAAUAUCGACCGACUAAAAGAGGGAACGAACGAUGGAAAAUGGAGGAACAAGAAGAAGAAGAAGAAGAAGAAGAAAAGGAAGAAGAAGAAGAAAAAGAAGGGGAGGAGGAAAUAAAAAACGAAGGAGAAGAAAAUGAAGAAGAUCAUGGGCGCAUCGGGCACGAAUUAUCGACGUGGUUCGAUUUACUGGCUCGAACCAACCGACGCGACGUAGUCUCCGUGGUCAGUGAAAGACACGAGGGCGAUCAGGGAAAAGGAAGACGCGGGAGAGGGUCAGAAAGAAACUCUGGACGCCAGCUGGAAGGGAGAACCGCGAUCGUUCGAUGCCAUAGUGGGGCGUCAGAUCGGUUGUACGCGUGGAAAAUGGGACUGGUUUUUAUCGGAAUCGCCUGGUGCACCUCCUGCGGGAGGUAUGCCUUAAUGUUUAAUGCAGGCCCCUAUUGGAAUUGCGCGUGUACCACGUAUAACGAAAGCUGGCUCUUCGGAUCGCGUCCUCCGCGUCGACGUCCGCGAGUCUGACAUAGCUGAGGUCGCGGCAUCCCAGACUCGCCCAGUAUCCUGUCCACAUUUCCUUGGACGUCUAGUCGCGUGACUCUCUCCGCGAUAUUUAUUAAUAGAAUAAUUUCGAGCGUUGCGCCUCUUGGAUAAAUAACGCUCCCCUUUCGCCGCCGGUUCUAGCCAAGGAGGCACGAGCGCACGCGAUCGCCUCGUAGAUUCUGCCCGUUGACGGCUCGCUCCAAGGAACGCAAACACCGCGACUAUGUUUCGCGGAUAAUUCCAGGGGCACGCUGAGUUUUCAGUGGAGUUGCUUAUCGUUAUACACAUUUAUGUUUAAGAGAUUAACGGCCAUGGGUGAUUGCGAGUUAUUAUUGCUAGGUUUAAUAGCAGUGACGGUUUCUUCUGGAAAAUUUAAGAGAGGUUUUAGUUUCUCUCCCUCUUAGAAAAGAGAAUAUUUUGAAGAUAUUAGAAGAUUUCGAAGUAAUAACGUAAUAAUAGUAUUAUUAUAUGUAGGUAUAGUCUUUUGAAGAUCGGUGCAGUAAAUGCCAUGCAAACGAAGUAGAAUAGGUACAAUAGUAGGACGUAGAGUAAGACGAGUAUAAGUAGAAUAGGUCAACGAGGUUUACUAGGUAUGUUCAUAACUAAGAUUUGUAACUUUGCUCAAGUAAUCGUACAGCAUAUGGCACACCAAUAUUUUACUACCAAUUUAUCUAUCGUAGUAUCGGUAAUGUUGUACCAUGAAAUCCAUCCACAUGCCAUCAUCGUAUCGAUGCACUCAACUAAUCAGAAUCUCUAAAAUUCUAACACAUACAGCACAGCCGACAGAAAUUACGUAUAAAAGAACGUAAAACGUAGCAAGCUACUACUUGAUCGACGCUCGAUAAUGAAAGACACCGUAAUAUUAUACUACCAAUUUAUCUCUUCUACCAUCUCAUUUCUAACUAUCCUCAAACACGCCACAAUCACAUCUACUUUAACCAAAAAUUCUAACAUGUUCGGUAGGCAUAAAGCGAAAGAACGGUUAAAAGAAGAAACAAAGAGAGGAACGAUUACGCGUAGCUACCCUUCCGUGGCUCGAACACGCCUUCUGCCUCUUUCUCGAGGAGGAACUCGCGCGGAACCGCUCGGAAGAUCGGCCGAUAACGGGUGCAGCCCCUGUGCGAUGCCUUCGGAGUUGCAGAGCAAUACGCGCGUCCCGCUUUAUUGCGGAACGCCUCGUUAAUAAAGCGGCGAUCUUUUUUUAAGAACGGCGCAGCUCGCGAGCCGGCAAGCGGCGGGGCACGAGCGAUCGAGGAAGCGGGAACGGGAUGACCGAAUCCGGGAUGCGUUCUUCGCUCGAGAUCGCGCCGAUAACGUGUUGCAUUAUUAAUCGAUCCACUGCGGAAGAGCGAUGCAGGGAGAUCGAUAAAAUUAAUUUUCUGAACCGUACGCGUGGAGGGCAACGCGAACGCUCGCACCCGAAUCGCACGCGAUCCUCGCGAGUCCGAUCGAUCACGCAACGAUUUUUGGUGUUUUCGUUAUCCGUACAGUCGUUGAGAUUUUGUUCCGUCAUGCGUGCAUUGGGUGUUGCGAUUAAUGUUUCAGAGGAACGUGCCUGGGGACGACGAGUUCAAGUAUAGUUCUGUAAGUAUUUCUCAAUCAAGAGUCUUCACUUUUUGAUCGAUCAAGCUAUAGUUUCAUGAAUUUUGUACUUUUAUCUUCAUAUAAUUACAAUUCAUAUGAAACGAGACUAAUUCGUGUGAAUUAGGUGUAGGCCGUGUCCAAUAGAAAUUAUAUUUCAAAUUUGAGACGAUGAGUAUCUUCGGAUUUCAGAGACGUGUAUCUUCCUUUAACUUUCGUUUAAAAUGAUAAGUUCCUUUUCGGUAACUGUUUCUAAAAUGUAAGAACAGUGCACGUAUUUUAAACAAAAUUAUUAAAUAAGGAAAUUUGAUAACAAGAAUAUUAACAAAAAAAAUUCCUAGUACAAAGCAAACGAAUGUAUGCGUAAACUAUCUCGGCCAGUCUACUCCAAACUUUCACAAACAUAAAAAUUCCCAUGUUCCAUCCCUUCAACUAGGCAAACACCAUCUCUCAAAACCUCUAUUCUUUGUCUCAGCAAUUAGAAAAAUUCACGAUACAACAAAAUGAUAAGUUUACCGGAGGCCAAUAGGGACAUGGACGAAGCCGAGUGCCGGUUCUGCUCCCGGUGUAUUCCGGAUCCAGAGGGUCUCGGCGCGCAGCGGAAAAGAAGGGAGGCCAUCAGCGUGGAGCGUGGUGGGGUGGGGGAGGUAGACAGGGGGAUCACAUACUCGUUGGCCCACUACUUGUACCCCCGCGAUACGCGUUCCGCAUUGAUAUUAUUUCAUUAACUUUUUGCCGGUCGCCUCGCUUGUUGGAAUAGUGGUCUCGUCGGUCGGCAAUCUCCUCCUACGGUUACUCCACCUUCUUCGGCCUCCCUCUGACUACUCUUCGAUCUCCUGCUCCGCUUCUCGUGGUCUCUCGCCGACUGAAACAGCCGAGAGAAGCCAAGGAGCAUCACCAGUAUCGCUCCUCUUUCAUCCUUUUGCUGGAUUCGAGACCGUACACCUGCUACCACCGCCUCCUCGCUAGAUGUCCCGAAACCGUUCUUCCUGUGUUUCUUUCCGUGAAGGAAUCUCGGUCCGACGCGACGCGGACCCGUUCCUCUUCCAUUAGCCGCUGAUAAUUGCCCGGACUUAAUUGGGGCGUUGUGCACCGUCACGGACGAAAUCGGGGAGGAUGCUAACCUGGAAACUCGCAGGUUUCUUCUGGCCUUUGGGGAAUCGUAGUUUUUGCCCAUUUGCGAGAACUCUUUUCAUUCUCGUCUUGCUUUUUUUUUCUUUUUAGUAGGGCGUUGCAUGAUAGCGGAUCGAUAGUGGUAUUUUUGGACCUGUGUUUUAGGUUUCAGUGUUAUCUUUUACUUUCUUUUUGUUACAUUGUCUAUAGUGGUAUAAUGUAUCGAGGGAUAGAUGAAAUGAUACAAACACCUAAUUUAAGACCUUGCUUUAACGAGUUCUUGCCGAAAGUGGAAUUCAUUAACGUGUCUCCUCAGAGGCUUUUGACUGCACAAGUAUCUAGUUCGAUCUACAAAUAAACCACGAAUCUGACAUAAUCAAAAGGCAAAGUUAAAGGAUAAUAUUAUAUCCGUGUCUUCUACGUUUGAUCCACACAGCAUAUUACUAAUCUUCAGCUUCGCAAUCCAAGAGGUCGGUGAACCAGAAAAUUAUUUCUACCUGCACUACCUCCCAUCUCGAACACCAAAUUUCGCAAAAGACAAUGACUCCGAAGAAUUUCAUGCGAGCGAAGAUCACGCGGCGCGAUUUCGUAGCUCGCGAAGUUCCAAAAUUUACCGAGAAGACCAUCCAGAAUUCGAGUCUGCUAGGGAGUCGGCAUUUCAAGCGCAUAUCCGCUUCAACUCGACUGUCCGUCCUCUCGUGUGUCGCUUUCCGCUCGCGCCUCUGCCGGGAUUUAUGGGGAUUUACACGAAUUUAUGUGCGUCCAGGGGACAUGACGUAUCCCUUUGGCCCGCUGGUCGCGCGCGCGCACUGGUACCAACACGAGGAACCAAGCGAACCAACGUUCCUGCCGGUUCGACCGGCGAUCCAUCAUCGUAAAAAGUGUUUCUCUCCUCCUCGCGUUGCGGCACCGCUUGUGUAGAUCUGGCUGGUCACGAGUCGACGGUUCGUCUGGGUCGUCGACGAUCAUCCGCCGAUCGAUCGAUCGAUCGUAUCGCGUCGGUCAGAUCGCGUCGUUUGCUUCUUAGAGAAUACUUUCGAGAAUUCGGAGGCAGUGUUUCCCUUCUUUGGAUCUCGAUAAUUAUCAUGAACUUUGGAACGAAGAAAUGAAGUUGUUAUUGAUUAUGUGGGAAUACGCGUACCCAAUGGAAUGUUUGGGUGAAGACGAUCAAACAAGUUGAGGGGAUUUAAACGUUGGAUUUCAUUAAUAGUAAUAGCAAAGUAGUGGAAACGAAGUAAUAGCAAAAUACGGAUUGUGAAGUACUUGAAGAUAAAGUAACUUGUGUCAAGAAUAUCAUUGAAUAAACAUGAUGUACAUGGAUCAUUUAACACGUUAUAGUUGUAAUAGUCGCUCUCCUUUUUUCACGGUCCAAUUGCAACCUCAAAUGAAAAAAUGUCGAUAUCCUUUCAUCGCUGAUCCUAAACGAUAUAUCCAUGAAUUCCAACAAUAUUGCUUGGGAAAUUAGAAAAGAAACAAUUGUAAAAAUCACAAUAAAUUACGAAUCAUACAAGUUCGUAAUAUUUUAUAGCAACUCUCUGAAAAAUCACGGCUAAGAAGGUAAGUGUAAAAUUUGAUUGAAAUCGAUAUCUUAACGUUCUUUCAGACUCAACCAAAUUUUUCCUACUGUCAUCAGAAGUUUCUACACGCUGCAGCGAAUUCGCGGAUUUAUUGUUGCGAUCGUAAAACUGUCAGCCGAUUCGCCUACGGGUAAAUCACUCGAGGCGAUGAUCGAAGAAGAGAGAAGAGGAAAGAGAUCUAUCGGCGGCAACCGUGGCCCUUGAACGCGUGUCUCGUAAAACAGCCACCAUCGAAUGCUAAUGGCGGGUAGCGUGGUUUUUAUAGGGUCGAUAAUUUGGCCGAGGUCGAAGGUCGAAAACUCGCUACGAGGAUAUACGAAGUGUGAAAUAUAUUUAAACAACCCUCGUGACCGGUACUUGCUGCUGCCGAUUAUUUAUCUCCCUUCCUUCCUCUAUCUUUUCUUCUUGAAAAUAUUCCCGAGAAAUUUAUUUUCGUCAGCGAGGAAAAUCUCGUUAUUAAUUCAAUGAACGAUGCUCUCUGGGUCGAUGGACAAGACGAUCGUAUUAUAUUCUCACGUUCUUGAAACCUACUUCGGCACAGAGGAGAUUUCUCGCGAUAGCGCCGUGGAAACGACACAAUUGAUUGUGGAAUCUGUUGGAUUGGUAACCGUAAUUCGUUUAGAUAGCGAGAUCCGGUUGCUUAUAGUUUGAAGAGGGUUCUUAAAGAGCUUAACUUUCGGAAACCGUUUUUGGAUAACGGAGAGGUUUUGGACAACGGGAAGUCGACCGGCUCGAAAUACGUAAUCAGCUGUUCCGAAAUGCACAUCCGCUCAUCCGGUGGAGCGUGCGAACAUUUUCGCAGAAACGAGGUCGAUGCUUCGAACAGGCAACGGUAGAAUCCGUAAUAUCGAUCUAUUUGAUACGACUCGCAAAUAUCGUAUAUUUUAUCUCACGUUAGUAUAACUUACCAUCAAUUUCGAGCAUAAGUUAGUAAGACAAAAGAUCUCUAAAAAUCUUCGCAACUGCCCAAGUUUCGGUUUCUUCAAUGUACCGCGGAAAUUUCCAAAUUUAACAAAGAAUCAAAAGUAUAGUUGUAUUCAGCUAUAGUAAGUACGAUUCGGCACAUUAUCCGGCCGAUCGUCGAAAGAGGUAUAUUUCUAGGAAAUUUCGAACUUCUGUCUUCUGCAUCGAGUGUAGGAUACGGAUAUCUAGUAUAUUUGUUUUUUUUUUUUUGUCGAGGUUGACUGAUAGAAUAACGAAUGGAUGAAUUUGUAGUAGAGAAAUAUAUUGAAAUAAAUAAAGGUAUAAGUAUAAGUAUAGUGUAAGCUGAUCCAGAUCCUCACUCUGACAGUGUUACAAUACAAUAGAAGAAGCUAUGAUAGCGAGCACGUUCAUAUAUUUAUAGCAAAGGACAUUACCAAAAGGUUAACCUUGUAGCUCUAGCUGCAGGCCACAAAAACAGCAAUAGAAAUCUACUUAUAGCUCUUUUGUUUCUAGAUCUUGUAAACCAAAACAUAAUUUAUAUUCAAGGGCACAAUAAUAUGGACCUCUUUUUAUUUCGAAUUAUUUUUUUGUUUCAUUAAAUUCUAUUCUCUUCGUAACAGCGGUCUUCAGGUCACGGAUAUACGAAAGUAAAGAUGUAUAGUUUUUCUUGAAGUAAUUUUACAUACUGAAAGCUCACUCCACGAAGUGAAUUUCAAGAACUGGCAGGAAUCGAACGCCAACCAACUAACGAAGUAAAAUGCCAGUCUAACCGUUGCAAGUGGAAAUGGACAGAAAGAAACAGACAAGCCCCACUAAAUAUUUAGUCUGCCUCAAAUUCGGUAGAAGCUGAGGUACACGCCGGACGCAGUAGAAAAAGAAACGAAAGAGCAGACCUCCAAGACGAGCGUGUGCGCGGCGCGGCGUGAAGGAAUUCGCGACGAGGAAGAGGUCGCGAGCCGAGGGCAGCCCGGAAACGCGAUAUAUCCCGAGGGCUGUCUCUCUUGGUUCUCGCUUGAUAUCGGCCUGGGCCACCAAUAUGCGGCCUUUCCGGCUCGCGGGAACUUUGCGAAACUGCGCAAGCACGCCGCGCAAUUUGAUUCGGGGUGGCCCGGCUCUUUUCUCUUGGACUUACCAACAUACGUACGCUUCUCGUAACGGUACGCUCUUGAACCUCGGGCCGAGGUAAUUGGGUCCGUCUACAGCCACUUCCGGUUCAGCCGCUCGCUCAGAAUCGGUACUUCAUCAGGUACGAGAAUCACGUCCACCGAUACUCUUUCUUCCGCUACCUGGAAACGUAAUAUUGAUGCAACAGGUUGAUGAUAAUAAUUUGGACGAUAUAUUGAUUGACCCAAGUGUUCUUUUGUGAUUGAUUUAUUUGAUUAUAUUCAGUGUAUUAUACAAUUUGGUAAGAUUCGAAGAGAAUUAUUUAUUACGUAGGUACUUUCGCAAAAUGAUACAUAAUUGGUUAUGGUAUGUAUUUUAAUUUGAACAUUUAUUAUGGAAGAAUUUUAAGAAUGUAUUGUGUGUGUUAUGCGAAAUUUUUGGAAAUUUCAUUGACACUAUAUACAGGAUGGUUGGUAACUGGUGGUACAAGCGGAAAGGGGGUGAUUCUACGCGAGAAAGAAAUCGAAAAUAUAGAAUAAAAAUUUUUCGUUUGAGGCUUUGUUUUCGAGAAAAUCGACUUUGAAUUUUCGUUCGGUAAGCGUGCACUUUAUCACGUCUCGUUAUAAC
This is a long non-coding RNA of Bombus huntii, 8151 nucleotides long. RefSeq lists it as uncharacterized. The transcript is spliced from 3 exons. The record is from RefSeq and is a predicted model, not a curated record. Lineage: Eukaryota; Metazoa; Arthropoda; Insecta; Hymenoptera; Apidae.